Molecule: ribosomal RNA, 338 nt
Filed under: uncultured bacterium
Lineage: Bacteria
Description: bacterial SSU rRNA
Rfam family: Bacterial small subunit ribosomal RNA
Source: RNAcentral
GACGAACGCUGGCGGCGUGCUUAACACAUGCAAGUCGAGCGGAAAGGCCCUUUCGGGGGUACUCGAGCGGCGAACGGGUGAGUAACACGUGAGUAAUCUGCCCUUGGCUUUGGGAUAACCACCGGAAACGGUGGCUAAUACCGGAUAUGACGGGCUCCGGCAUCGGGGUUCGUGGAAAGUUUUUUCGGCCAGGGAUGUGCUCGCGGCCUAUCAGCUUGUUGGUGGGGUAAUGGCCUACCAAGGCUUCGACGGGUAGCCGGCCUGAGAGGGUGACCGGCCACACUGGGACUGAGACACGGCCCAGACUCCUACGGGAGGCAGCAGUGGGGAAUAUUGGA